Long non-coding RNA from Struthio camelus australis, 469 nucleotides. NCBI's taxonomy places the organism in Eukaryota, Metazoa, Chordata, Aves, Struthioniformes, Struthionidae. The record is from Ensembl.
CAGACCUCAUCUUAAAGGCAUACCAUGCAGAUCUCACUAUCCCUUUUGGGAAAACGGGACAGUCACUUCUUGCAGCACUGCUCUGAGCACACUGAUAUGCAGAGGGGAACAGACCUGAGAGGAUGGAAUCUGUAAUCUACCAGCAAGCACCUUUAGCAAAUGGGAAAAGGAGGCUUGUUGUCUCCUCUCUGAAUCACCAGAAAAAUGAGGUGCUCUGUGAUCUGAGUGUUCAUGCUGCAGGCAAGGAGUGUGUCUUAUUAAUUCUGUGAUCUGACUUGUUGGAAAUUUCCAAGAAGCCCUCGAGAAGAAAGAUGACCUGCUGCUUUCCUGACAUCAAAAAUAAUAGCAUCAUGUGUGGGGUAACUGCAGUGUUGCUUAAUGGUUCCACAAUGACCAAGAAAAGACCUGGAUCCCCAAAUCUACUUCACACGACAUUUCAAUUAAAAUGAUUUUUAAAAAUGGCCAGAAC